This is a non-coding RNA of Aspergillus heteromorphus CBS 117.55, 109 nucleotides long. Lineage: Eukaryota; Fungi; Ascomycota; Eurotiomycetes; Eurotiales; Aspergillaceae. The record is from the annotation of a RefSeq genome assembly.
GGCAAGAUGGCCGAGCGGUCUAAGGCGCCAGGUUAAGGUCUACCUUAACAGCAAGCUUCAGCUUCCUGGUCAACGUAAGUUGGCGUGGGUUCGAAUCCCACUCUUGUCA